AUUGAACGCUGGCGGCAGGCCUAACACAUGCAAGUCGAGCGGAUGAAGGGAGCUUGCUCCUGGAUUCAGCGGCGGACGGGUAAGUAAUGCCUAGGAAUCUGCCUGGUAGUGGGGGAUAACGUCCGGAAACGGGCGCUAAUACCGCAUACGUCCUGAGGGAGAAAGUGGGGGUUCUUCGGACCUCCCGCUAUCAGAUGAGCCUAGGUCGGAUUGGCUAGUUGGUGGGGUAAAGGCCUACCAAGGCGACGAUCCGUAACUGGUCUGAGAGGAGGAUCAGUCACACUGGAACUGAGACACGGUCCAGACUCCUACGGGAGGCAGCAGUGGGGAAUAUUGGACAAUGGGCGAAAGCCUGAUCCAGCCAUGCCGCGUGUGUGAAGAAGGUCUUCGGAUUGUAAAGCACUUUAAGUUGGGAGGAAGGGCAGUAAGUUAAUACCUUGCUGUUUUGACGUUACCAACAGAAUAAGCACCGGCUAACUACGUG
RNAcentral lists this ribosomal RNA (484 nucleotides) under uncultured bacterium. RNAcentral describes it as "partial 16S ribosomal RNA". It matches the Rfam family "Bacterial small subunit ribosomal RNA", at positions 30 to 507 of the family's 1533-position model. The record is from RNAcentral.